This 749-nucleotide ribosomal RNA is filed under the name uncultured bacterium. Its description in RNAcentral is "bacterial SSU rRNA". It matches the Rfam family "Bacterial small subunit ribosomal RNA", at positions 60 to 769 of the family's 1533-position model. The record is from RNAcentral.
AGUCGAGCGAGCUUGCCUAGAUGAUUUUAGUGCUUGCACUAAAUGAAACUAGAUACAAGCGAGCGGCGGACGGGUGAGUAACACGUGGGUAACCUGCCCAAGAGACUGGGAUAACACCUGGAAACAGAUGCUAAUACCGGAUAACAACACUAGACGCAUGUCUAGAGUUUGAAAGAUGGUUCUGCUAUCACUCUUGGAUGGACCUGCGGUGCAUUAGCUAGUUGGUAAGGUAACGGCUUACCAAGGCAAUGAUGCAUAGCCGAGUUGAGAGACUGAUCGGCCACAUUGGGACUGAGACACGGCCCAAACUCCUACGGGAGGCAGCAGUAGGGAAUCUUCCACAAUGGACGAAAGUCUGAUGGAGCAACGCCGCGUGAGUGAAGAAGGGUUUCGGCUCGUAAAGCUCUGUUGGUAGUGAAGAAAGAUAGAGGUAGUAACUGGCCUUUAUUUGACGGUAAUUACUUAGAAAGUCACGGCUAACUACGUGCCAGCAGCCGCGGUAAUACGUAGGUGGCAAGCGUUGUCCGGAUUUAUUGGGCGUAAAGCGAGUGCAGGCGGUUCAAUAAGUCUGAUGUGAAAGCCUUCGGCUCAACCGGAGAAUUGCAUCAGAAACUGUUGAACUUGAGUGCAGAAGAGGAGAGUGGAACUCCAUGUGUAGCGGUGGAAUGCGUAGAUAUAUGGAAGAACACCAGUGGCGAAGGCGGCUCUCUGGUCUGCAACUGACGCUGAGGCUCGAAAGCAUGGGUAGC